UCAUUCGAUUCGUUGUGGAUUGGAUGAUGGAAAAACCUGCAAGCAGCAAGCAUAGUUAGAAAAGUUGUCGUAGUGCGCCCUACGGAGUUGUAAAAAGUCAGCAACCAUUUUGGGGCGCAAGAAUAGGCAACACAAGACUGAUGACGGAGUGGGGCACGCAGUGAACUGGUUUUCUAAAAAGAAUGGAAGAUCCGGCCAAAGAAGGUGAUAGCCCUGUUCUUUCGUUCCCAUGGUUCGAUCCUUCCCAGUAAAACGCGGUGUGUUCGAAUGAUGGUCACUUUUACGCGAGAAAGGGGGACCACCCUCUAAGCCUAAGUAUUCCUCAAUGACCGAUAGCAU
Molecule: ribosomal RNA, 339 nt
Filed under: Triticum aestivum (bread wheat)
Lineage: Eukaryota; Viridiplantae; Streptophyta; Magnoliopsida; Poales; Poaceae
Description: partial small subunit ribosomal RNA
Source: RNAcentral